Molecule: unclassified non-coding RNA, 1680 nt
Filed under: Portunus trituberculatus (swimming crab)
Lineage: Eukaryota; Metazoa; Arthropoda; Malacostraca; Decapoda; Portunidae
Description: methyltransferase-like protein 24, transcript variant X1
Source: RNAcentral
AGAGAGAGAGAGAGAGAGAGAGAGAGAGAGAGAUUUUGUCUUUUCUUAGCGACAGAAUUAUUUGGAAGUGAUAGCACCAAACUGGAUCUGAAAAGUUGUAACUGAUUAUGAAAAAGUAGAAAAUAAAUUAACUGAAUAAAUGAGUAGACAAGAUAACAAGAGAAAAAAAAAUAAUAAAAACUCAAAGCAUCUGGCGGUACCACCACAAAGGAGGCAAAGGAAGAGGAAAACUUUAUCCGAAAUCUUGGGAUCCUGCAGGGAGUGGACGCGUGGUAGACAGUACGUUUCAAUCACUUACUUUCCUGUUGCUGUUAACGUUACUCGUGAUCACCCGUCAGUCAUUCCUCUCAACGCCUCAUUCGGUCACUCGUUUAGGGGAAGAAAAGUGAAAAUAGGGUUUAAAAAGUCGACGAGUUUGUGUCACUAGGAAGUUCUCUCUCUUGUCAACCCCGAGAAAGACUUGAGGUCGAAAACAUUCAUCCGAUAUGCUCUUACUUCGCCGCCGCCUCCGUCAGUCACGCGCGUUUUGGUGUCUGAGCGUGGUGGCGGUUUUGGCGGUCGUGAACGUGAUGCAGGAUUCCCACAGCGCGUACCUGGAAGGGCCGAUAAGUUACAUUUCAAGCCCCUGGAGUGACGCCCUAGACCCAAAGAUUCCCAGACCACCCAGACACCCCAGAGUGCUGCGCCCCUCACUGCAGGACGACACGGAGGACCAGUGGUGGACCCCUGACCACUUGCAGCAGCUCCUGGACGUGCCCACAACUACUUGCCGCCGCAUGCUGAGUCUCGGGGGCGGGCUGCGCUGUAGUGACUGCCAUACUUGCCUCAGGGAUGGACAGAAAUUCACAUGUCUCGACGAGGACGUCAGGCCGCGGCCGGGAAGCUGCCUCAUCUACUCGGUCGGAGUCGGGGGGGAGUUGUCUUGGGAUUACGCCAUGAAGAACUUCAACUGCUCUGUGUUGGCCUUCGACAUGACCAUGAUGAAUUGGACCAACAUUCAGCUUGGAACGGGACUCCACUUUCUUGACCUCGGGCUGGCAGACACCAACAGUGACGACACCAUCAAUAUGACAGCCGCGGACGGGCCAGGCGUAGAAUGGGAGGUGCGAGAGGCUCACUUCCGUACACUGGACACAAUACGAGAAGUGCUGGACCACACGCGGCGCCCCAUAGACGUGCUCAAGUUGGACAUCGAGAACUGGGAGUGGAAGGUGAUGGGCGGGCUGCUCUCCUCCCCCUCCCGCGCCAAGGUCCUGGAUGACGUAAAGCAGAUCGCUCUGGAGAUUCACCUGGACGGCCUGAAGAACGCGUCAGCGGCUGAGCGGGUGACAGAGGCACGGCACGUGGAGGAGGUGCUGAAGGCACUUCAUAACCAGGGGUUCAAAUUGGCGCAAACGGAGCUCAACACGGCGCAGCAGGAGUACGGCGAGGUGCGAGGCCAUGUGUUCCCGCUGUACAGGGAGUCACUCUUCCUUCGACGUCCAUGACGUGGGGCCUCUCGUGACGACAUCCGAGCUGUGUCAAACCGAUAUAAUCGAUGCGAAACCUUUUAGCCAUUUGGCUCUUGUUAUUUCGAACUUGUGAUCAUGAUAAGCAGCAUAGCAUUACCUCCGUGACGGGGACAACAGGUAGCGUGACUGCUGAGAUAUCUGAGCCUUGCGACACACACACACACACACA